RNAcentral lists this long non-coding RNA (3417 nucleotides) under Homo sapiens (human). RNAcentral's name for it is "HSALNT0381135". The record is from RNAcentral. Lineage: Eukaryota; Metazoa; Chordata; Mammalia; Primates; Hominidae.
AAUCUGGGUGAGCACGGGCUAAUCAACUGCCAGUGCAGCUAGGAUAAAGGCAGGCAGAGGAAUGCGGAAGGACUAGACUGGCUAAGUCUUCUGGCCUCCAUCUUUCUCCCAUGCUGGAUGCUUCCUGCCCUUGAACAUCAGACUCCAAGUUCUUCAGCUUUUGGACUGUUUGACUUACACCAGUGAUUUGCCAGGGGCUCUUGGGCCUUCAGCCACAGACUGAAGGCUGUACUGUCAGCUUCCCUACUUUUGAGAUUUUGGGACACGUACUGGCUUCCUGGCUCCUCAGCUUGCAGACGGCCUAUCAUGGUACUUCACCUUGUGAUCAUGACCACUGGUAUAGCUUGCCUGGUGGUGGACUUGGAGGAUACCAUUGCAUCAGGGCAUUUCUCCACAUGAUAGCUCCUGCCUGCUGGACAGGUCCUCUCUUGACUAUGUGUAUUCUCCAGAGAAGCAGCAUUUAUAAAAUUGGAUUAAAAUAAACUAACGAAUUAAAUAUGAAUAUGAAAAUAAACAGCUGUUUUCAUGGAAAUUGCAUUGAUGUGGAUUCUUCUGAAGGCAUGUCCCUAAAGAACCUGCCAACAAAUUCUGUAAAGGCAGAAUGAACAUUCUGGAAAAUUUAUGUCCUUGUGUAGAAGGCUAGAAAAAAAAAAGAAGAAAAAAGAAACUCUCAGCCUGAAGGCCUACGUAAAACACAAAGCACUUCUGAAAUCUUUUUGGGGGGCCAAAAUCACACCAAGCAAUGCCUGUGGAAGUGAAUGUAAUCAAGUAUUGCCCUACCAUCUUUCAGCACAACCACAUUAGAAUCUCCUUUAAAGUUUUUCCCACCUUCCCCAGCUCUAAUUGAUCCCCUCAAAACUAUGCUAAAUUUUUAGUAUUCCUAGUCACCUUCCGUAAGAUUGGAGCUAAUUCUGACAAAUAAUCUCUGAAUGAAAAGCCAUUCUACCAGAAAUACCACAUUUCUGGUAGAAAUGUUGGGAGCAUUUUUUUUCUUUUGCUUUCUCUUUUUUCUACUUUCGUUCUUUCAGUGAACUUAGUAGAUAUUAAUCCCUGGAGAGAUUAUUUUAGUUGGUAUCUGAAUUUUAAGGUAACUUUCAGUGCUUGAAAUCUAUCAUAACUAUGUCUUCUAAUUUCGUAGAAUCUUGGUCUCAGAACCUUAAGUUUUUACACGCAUUCUGCUUCAUUGCUAGAGAGCUGAAGAAAGAGGAAUCCCUACUCUGUCGCCCCACACUUUCUAUGUCCCAGGCAAAUAGCAACAGCUCAGUAUAUCCUAAGCACUUUUCUAAGAGUUUUACACUUAUUAAGUCAUUAAUCCUCACAACAACCUCUAUGAAAUUAUUAUUAUGGUUAAGGAAACAAGCACAGAAAGAGUAAAAAUUAAUUAUUUAAGACCAAUUAUUUAAUUAAGACUAGCCAAUUCAAUAAGUACUAACUGGGUGUCAUAUGUACACAUACACAUAUGUAUAAAUAUGUACACAUGUACAUAUACAGUCAAAUAUGUGAUAUGUAUCACUAUACACAGAAAUAUAUACACACACAGUGACAUAUAUAAAUCACUGUGCUGGGUACUAUAAGGCAUAGUUCUCACCCUUAAAACAUGUCUAGUCCUGUGCGGGAAUACCUGCAUCUAGAUACCUAAGGGCAUGACAUGAUCAACUUCAUAAAAGAUAGUACAGCAGAUCAAGUAUGGUCAGGAAGAACUAAAGCUAUUCUCAGUAUGAGCGUGAAAAGCCUUCUCUUCUGUUCUGUGACUCCCUGGAAGGCCCACAGUUCACAGCAAAGUGGGGACCAAAGGAUUGAGGCUCCAUUCCCUAGAGAUGGACACCCAGAAUUCAUGUUUAAAAAUUGAAAAUAAUCUCAUAAAAUAGUUGAAUCUUCCUGUGCAUGAAACAGCUGUAGCCAUGAUGCCCAACUCAGGGCCCUGCCUCAUUGAGUCCCCCCAGAGCUUUCCGCUGGCACUGAUGAUGUCCAGAUCUCCAUGCACACUGGUGCUGACACAGCCCCAUUAGCACAUUACUACUUCUGUCCCAUGAAAUAAAUCACAGCAAGGUGGUCGCCUAUGCAUUUCAGAAACCAGGAAAGUGGAACGCAUCAAGAUGAUCCUUUCACCACGACUAAGGAUGAUUUUGGAGGGUAAAGGAGUAGGAAUCAUAUUUUCUACCAUCACAGUUCAUUCCUUUACCUCUUCCCCAAAAGACCAUGAUAAGCUCCCAUGCUUAAGAGGAUCUUCAUUAGGAAGCAAUUACAGUCUAAGGCUAAAACUGUAGGCAGUCAUUUUAUUACUUUAGAAAAAUGUUUUGUAAAUAAACUUGGGAAGGAGGCACCAAAGUUGCUGUGAAAAGAAGAACAAAUUAUGAACAAAAAAGGCCAAUAAAUAAAUGGUAGUUAUCAUGACAUCCAUAGCGGGUCUUCCAUAAGUCAUAGUAAUCAUUCCCUGCAGGAAAGCAGCCACUAUCCAUCCAGGGACACUAACAUCAUUUUAUUCAAAGACUUGAGGGGGCCACCAUUCACAUAUGGUAGCCACACAAUCUUUGGACAAGAAAAUGAAGAGUUUGGGGAACAGCAUCAUCUGCCUUAGGAAAAACUCAGAGCCCUGGUCUAGAAUAAACUCUAGGGCUCUGAGAAAAUGAUUCUCUAAAACUAUCAGAAGUCUACGGAAAUAUGGAGAUUUUUUUCAAAGCUAUGUUUAAAUACAUUCGGUAAAUCUGAAAUAUAUUAAUAAACAUUGUUAUGUCUUUCUAUUAAGAAUAAUUUUGAUAAGAAUUCCCCACCAAAAUCACCUCCAUGUUGGCUGGACAACCCGAUGUCAUUGCUAAAAGAGUGAAAAUGUUUCAGUCUCUGAUAUUACCAAGUAAACAUAAUAAAUGGCUGUGAUGGUUAACACUCAGUGUCAACUUGGUUGGAUUGAAGGAUGCAAGUAUUGAUCCUUUGUGUGUCUGUGAGGGUGUUGCCAAAGGAGAUUAACAUUUGAGUCAGUGGGCUGGGAAAGGCAGACCCACCCUUAAUGUGGGUGGGCACAAUCUAAUCAGCUGCCAGCACGGCUAGAAUGUAAGCAGGCAGAAGAAUGUGAAAAGAGAGACUGGCCUAGCUCCCCAUCCUACACCUUUCUCCCGUGCUGGAUGUUUCCUGCCCUCGAACAUCAGACUCCAAAUUCUUCAGUUUUGGAACUCAGACUGGCUCUCCUUGAUCCUCAGCCUGCAGACAACCUAUUGUGGGACCAUAUACAUUUAAGCAUAUUUUAGGCUCCUCCAGACACUGCUUUUACUGGGUGGCUCUCUUUUGUUUUGUUUUGUUUUGGAGUAUUUUGCCAAUAUAUAAUGCACAGUCCCAUUUUAUUUAUUUAUUUUAUUUAUUUAUUUUUUGAGAUGGAGUCUUGCUGUCGCCCAGGAUGGAAUGCAGUGGCCCGAUCUUGGCUCA